CAAAAGUGGCGCAGAACCCCUGCCGGCCUAGGUCCCCGCACGCAGAACGGCAGAGCGACGCCGCCUCGCCUCCAUCCCCGCCGCACAUCGCCACCCGGCACGAACCCCAAAGCACGCCGCGGCGGUCGCCCACAGCCCAGCAGCAGGCAGCAGGGCGGUCCGAGGCCGAGGGUUUUAGAAACCACCACCCGAUCGGUACGGCCGCACGCACCCAUUCAACCGUCCGUCGCCAUCGUCUUCUCCACCGAGUCGCCAUUCGCCAAAAGAAAAAGGGAAAAACGUCCGCGGGGGAGAGGUGGAAGAGAGGUGGGAGCGAAGGAAAAGCUUCCCGAGUGAAGAAGUGUUUCCCAAAGGUGUGGAUAAGGCCGACGCCCGACGCGGUUGGAGGCUCCGGCUCCCGAGAAAGUGGGGGGCUUUGUCGCGGGCCUAGCUCCGGCGGAGGAGGACGAGGCCUGCUGGUGGACUUGCUCGCCCGCCUAGGGUUUUGGGCUGCCGGCCGGCUUGCUCGGAGGCCGCAAGAUGUAACUGCAGUUGUGGCGCUAGAUGCUAUGUCAAAUGGCUGGCUCACUUUGGCAGCUUGUCCAUUUGUCAGUUGCAUACACCAAUUGAGAUUCUACUGCUAUGUUUCUACAUUGUUCUGAGGUCCUGAGCCAUUAAAAUUUGGCGAAUAUGUCUAAUGGCUACUGAGAGUGCUUUCCGAUUGAUUGGUGGGACGGGGGCUAGGGACUGGAGUAAGGGAUUUGGUGCAUUUGGCUCUUCAGCAGGUGCCUUAUCAGGGGAAGACUUGGGAUUUGUGGAUAAUGACACUGGGGUUUAUGGGGGCUGGAACAAAUCUGUUCCAAAUCGUAGUGGAAGCGCACCGCCUAGCAUGGAAGGAUCUCUUGCUGCUCUUGGCCAUCUCAUUGAUCAGCAGAGUGGGAGCUUUGAAGCUAGUUUGACAACCUUGGAUAACAUAACUGACAGUUCCAAAUCUGAGGAGCAACUACGUGCUGAUCCAGCAUAUUUUGAGUAUUAUGGCUCCAAGGUGAAUCUGAAUCCAAGGCUCCCUCCGCCACUUAUUUCAAGGGAGAGUCGCCGAUUAAUGAACCGUGUUGGCAAGGCUAAAGAGUGGAGGAUGGUCUCCCAAGAUAACAGCAGCAAAGGCUCAAUAUACGUUCCUCGAUCUAUGUUGUCAACUCACAAAGAAGAACCUGAGGAUGAUAAAUCUCCAAGAUUGGAUUCAAGUUCAGUGGAGGAUGCCCAGAUUGUCUCCAGUGCAUCCAACUUUCAGAGCCAGGAUUUUAUGCUGGAGAGGUUUCAACAGAGUGUUGCUUCUUCGCCUGAUAGUUCAUCUUCUAAUCCUUCAAAUAGCAACACUGGUGAUUCUAUGCCUGUAUAUUCUGACAUAAAUUUGUUAAAGAGUUUGUCAUUUGAUGCUUUGAAGCAAUCGGAUUUGAACUCUUGGACACCAAAAGGCCCACUGAAAAGUAAUGUUAACAAUGACCUUUCAUCGCCACCCCUUUCCAGUUCAUCAUAUCCUGGUAGCAAAACUGGUACGCAAACUUUUGAGCAAGAAAAGGCUGCUGCUGACACCAAACAUGGAAAUGUUGUGCUUGGCAGUGGCGCAGCUGUUACUGAAGUUGAUAAUGUGGACUCCAUUAUGAAGAAUUUGAAGUUAAGUUUGGAUGUCCAUACAUCCUCACCUGCCAAGCAGAGGUGGCAGGACAAUGUCUUGCAGCAGUAUGGUUCCUUUUUACCAGCCCAAGGUGAUCCUAUUCAAUUGACUACUCAAGGACCCCAUCCUCCUCAUGUACCUUUUGUUGAUAACUUGUCUCAUGCUCAGCUCAAGUUGCCUGACAUCCACCAAAAUUUACCACAACCUAGUAUGACAACACCUUUCUAUACACCAAAUUCUUUUGGGAACCCUUAUUAUCAGAAUUUGCACCCUGCUAAUGCUUUUCCAACCUCAAUUGGAACUGGGGGUUAUGCUGUAAGUGGUUCUAUUUUGCCACCGUUUAUGGCUGGCUAUGCUCCCCAAGGUCCUCUUGCUACACCUCUUGACAGUUCUAUGACUCCAAGCUUUAGUGGCAGGCCAUCUGGAUUUCUUCCAGCAGGGAAUCUUACAGGGGGAACAGAUUUUAUGCAGUCAUGUAAAGUAUACGGACAAUUUGAGCCUGGUAUGCAGCCAUCCAUUCCCGAUCCGAACUUCAUUCAUUUCUUUCAGCAUCCCUCUUUAUUUCAGUAUACUGGAGGAAAUCAAUACAAUACAAUGGGUCCAAGAUUUACUGUUGUUGGGAAUUUAGCUGAAAGCUUUGAUUCACAAAACACGAUACCUCAAGCUGCAUCUGCAUAUCCAUCUGAUCAGAGGCUUCCACUGCCAAUAACUGGCUUUCCUAAUUCUCCUACAGCCAGAAGAGGAGGGACUGUUCCAAAUUAUCAAGGCAUUUCAUCCUACAUUGGAGUGCCAAUGACUUAUCCUACUAGUCCAGUGUUUCAGGGACAAACAUUGCCUGGAGUAUUGCCUCCUGUUAGGAGAAACGACUCUGCUGGAUUUCUGCCCCCCUCAAGAAACAUCACUGGUAGCCCUGGAAUUCAAGGGCAGCGAGCAAGACAGAAGUUUGAUGAAUCAAAGACCUGCUCUUUCUUAGAAGAGUUGAAGUCCAACAGAGCGCGCAUGGUUGAGCUUUCUGACAUCACAGGCCGUGUAGUUGAAUACAGUGCUGACCAACAUGGUAGCCGAUUCAUCCAGCAGAAGUUGGAAAACUGCACCGCCGAAGAGAAGACAUCUGUGUUUGCCGAGAUUCUUCCUCAUGCUUCAGCAUUAAUGACUGACGUUUUUGGGAAUUAUGUGAUCCAAAAGUUUUUUGAACAUGGAACUCGUGAGCAAAGGAGGGAUCUUGCCACCAAGCUUGUUGGUCACGUUUUGCCUUUGAGUCUUCAGAUGUAUGGCUGCCGUGUAAUCCAGAAGGCUCUGGAAGUUAUGGAACUUGACCAGAAAAUAGAUCUAGUUCAUGAGCUUGAUGGUCAUAUUAUGCGAUGUGUCCGUGAUCAAAAUGGAAAUCACGUUAUACAGAAGUGCAUUGAGUGUGUCCCCACAGAACAUAUUGGUUUUGUAGUGUCUGCUUUUCAGGGACAAGUUACUAGCCUUUCAAUGCAUCCAUAUGGCUGCCGUGUAAUUCAGAGAAUCUUGGAGCACUGCGGUGGUAACUCACAAGGCCAGUGCAUAAUAGACGAGAUAUUACAGUGGGUGUGCAUCCUUGCGCAGGAUCAGUAUGGCAACUAUGUUACACAGCAUGUUCUAGAAAGAGGAAAAGCUCAUGAGAGGAGCCAAAUUAUUACUAAAUUGGCCGGGCAGGUUGUUACCAUGAGCCAAAAUAAAUAUGCAUCAAAUGUGAUAGAGAAGUGUUUUCAACAUGGUGAUAUUGCGGAGCGGGAUCUUCUGAUCAGACGGAUUGUGGAGCAGACAGAGGGCAACAACAAUUUAUUGGUCUGUUUGGUAGUGUAGUAAAAGUGUUCCCUCCAUUAUCCCUUCCUCUCUUUGCCAAACGGGUCGGGGUUCUGGAAGGUAGGGCUAGGACAUGGGGACCUGAUCUCAGUUCGGUACAGCCAAUCAGAUAACACCAUGAGUAUCUCAGUUCUGCUAUUCCAGCUUUCUGGGAGCUGCGAAUCCUAUGGAUUACCAAGACAUGGGAUCUCUGUAAACUUAUUUCUUCCUGUGUUGAUGUUAGUUUAUAUUUCCUAAUCACCUUUUAUAUUCAAUCAGGCAAUGAUGAAGGACCAGUAUGCUAAUUACGUGGUCCAGAAGAUACUUGAAACUUGCAACGAGGAUCAGCGGGAGCUUCUGCUCAGCCGCGUAAAGGAUCAUAUGCAAGCAUUGAGGAAGUACACAUACGGCAAGCACAUCGUAAGCCGAGUCGAGCAGCUCUGUGGCGACGGAACUGCCGAGUCAGGUUCUUGAAACGAACCGCCGCCUAAUUCUUCAUAGGCUGGAGGGUGUCCUGCUCUUUUGCUCAUUCCGUCAGUGACGAAGAAAGCAAAACGGAUCAAGUCUAACUCUGGCGCUUCAGAACAGACUAACAAAGCUGUCGUCGAAGAUUGUAUAGGUGUGACUCUGUUCAGGGAUAGUCUUCAGGUUCUAGAACAGAAGGGUAGUGGUGUGCAUCAGUGUAUCUGUUUACUGGAUAAUAGUGGUUGGUUAGGUGUGUGCAGAAAAAGUUUAGUGCUAUGCUUUGUAUGUGAUACAUAUUAACUAUGCCUUGGAAUGUUCAUAUGUUGUCCUGAUUACGUGUGAUAUCUCUCGUUCAGUUCAA
Molecule: RNA transcript, 4289 nt
Organism: Zea mays
Lineage: Eukaryota; Viridiplantae; Streptophyta; Magnoliopsida; Poales; Poaceae
Exons: 10
Source: RefSeq, marked validated